RNAcentral lists this unclassified non-coding RNA (405 nucleotides) under soil metagenome. Its description in RNAcentral is "partial contains 5.8S ribosomal RNA, internal transcribed spacer 2, and large subunit ribosomal RNA". The stretch from base 1 to 121 matches the Rfam family "5.8S ribosomal RNA", at positions 35 to 154 of the family's 154-position model. The record is from RNAcentral.
GAUGAAGAACGUAGCGAAAUGCGAUAAGUAAUGUGAAUUGCAGAAUUCAGUGAAUCAUCGAAUCUUUGAACGCACCUUGCGCCCUUUGGCUAUUCCAGAGGGCAUGCCUGUUUGAGUAUCAUGAACACCUCAACUCUCAUGGUUCUGCCAUGAUGAGCUUGGACUUUGGAGGUCUUGCUGGCCCCUGUGGUCAGCUCCUCUCAAAUGGAUCAGCUUGCCAGUGUUUGGUAGCAUCACAGGUGUGAUAACUAUCUACGCUUGUGGUUUUCCACCAGGUAACCUUCAGUGAUGGAGGUUCGCUGGAGCUCAUAAACGUCUCUCCUCAGCGAGGACAGCUUCUUGAACGUUUGAUCUCAAAUCAGGUAGGGCUACCCGCUGAACUUAAGCAUAUCAAUAAGCGGAGGA